AGCAGCCGCGGUAAUUCCAGCUCCAAUAGCGUAUAUUAAAGUUGCUGCAGUUAAAAAGCUCGUAGUUGAAUUUCGGGACCAUCAUGUCGGUCGUGCCUCGGUACGUACUGGCAUCGUUGGUUUCUCCCUUCUGACGAGCCAUGAUGUCAUUAAUUUGGUGUCAUGGGGAAUCAGGACUGUUACUUUGAAAAAAUUAGAGUGUUUAAAGCAGGCUCACGCUUGAAUACAUUAGCAUGGAAUAAUGAAAUAGGACGUUUGAUUCUAUUUUGUUGGUUUCUAGGAUCGACGUAAUGAUUAAUAGGGAUAGUUGGGGGCAUUAGUAUUCAAUUGUCAGAGGUGAAAUUCUUGGAUUUAUUGAAGACUAACUACUGCGAAAGCAUUUGCCAAGGAUGUUUUCAUUAAUCAAGAACGAAAGUUAGGGGAUCGAAGACGAUCAGAUACCGUCGUAGU
Molecule: ribosomal RNA, 450 nt
Filed under: uncultured Glomeromycotina
Lineage: Eukaryota; Fungi; Glomeromycota
Description: SSU rRNA
Rfam family: Eukaryotic small subunit ribosomal RNA
Source: RNAcentral